AGAAGAGAGCAACCUGAACAGUGACGACGAUGAUGCAGCGGAAAAAAAUGCAGCGGCAAAGGAGCAGGACGCGCCGUCCGAAGACGAGGAAGGGGAAGGUGACACGGCUAAGAAAGCCAAGAAAGCGGCCUCCAAGGCGAAAGCGGUGAAGCCCGCCAAAAACGCCAAGCAGCGGAAAGCUGCGGAACAGGAGGACUCCAACGACAACGAGGAGGAGGAGCCG
This 223-nucleotide long non-coding RNA is filed under the name Dermacentor andersoni. Its description in RNAcentral is "uncharacterized LOC126534243". The record is from RNAcentral. Lineage: Eukaryota; Metazoa; Arthropoda; Arachnida; Ixodida; Ixodidae.